This 1037-nucleotide small RNA is filed under the name Pan troglodytes (chimpanzee). RNAcentral describes it as "retained intron". Lineage: Eukaryota; Metazoa; Chordata; Mammalia; Primates; Hominidae. The record is from RNAcentral.
CCCUUGCCCCUGCAGGUUGUCAGUGAUGGUGUACCCCUGGUGCUAGCCCUGGUCCCCCACCGGCAGCCCCACUCCUUCAUCACCCAGGGUUCCCCAGACCUGUUGGUAAGUGCAUUGUGCAGAGCCCCAGCUCAGCUCCACUCCCCCUUGCCUCUGCCAGAAACCCACCUCUGCCCCCUCCUGCCUGCAGGUGACUGUGAGUGCCAGUGGGCUGCUGGGCACCCACAGCUGGUUGCCCUAUGACCGCAACAUAAGCAACUACUUCAGCUUCAGCAAAGACCCCACCAUGGGCAGCCACAAAUGUAGUAACCUGCCUUGCACUGGACACCUGUGGCAUCUACCUCAUCUCAGGCUCCCGGGACACCACGUGCAUGGUGUGGCGGCUCCUGCAUCAGGGUGGUCUGUCAGUAGGCCUGGCACCAAAGCCUGUGCAGGUCCUGUAUGGGCAUGGGGCUGCAGUGAGCUGUGUGGCCAUCAGCACUGAACUUGACAUGGCUGUGUCUGGAUCUGAGGAUGGAACUGUGAUCAUACACACCGUACGCCGCGGCCAGUUUGUGGCGGCACUACGGCCUCUGGGUGCCACAUUCCCUGGACCUAUUUUCCACCUGGCAUUGGGGUCCGAAGGCCAGAUUGUGGUACAGAGCUCAGCGUGGGAACGUCCUGGGGCCCAGGUAUGGGGAAGGGGUGCCCAGCAAAGAUGGAGGGGCAGUUGGGAUCCUGUCCUUGCUGACACUCCCUGCUUCCUCCAGGUCACCUACUCCUUGCACCUGUAUUCAGUCAAUGGGAAGUUGCGGGCUUCACUGCCCCUGGCAGAGCAGCCUACAGCCCUGACGGUGACAGAGGACUUUGUGUUGCUGGGCACCGCCCAGUGCGCCCUGCACAUCCUCCAACUAAACACACUGCUCCCGGCCGCGCCUCCCUUGCCCAUGAAGGUGGCCAUCCGCAGCGUGGCCGUGACCAAGGAGCGCAGCCACGUGCUGGUGGGCCUGGAGGAUGGCAAGCUCAUCGUGGUGGUCGCGGGGCAGCCCUCUGAGGUG